GCACCGCCAAUGGAAUUGAGAACCGCCCAGACUCUCUACGGAGGCAGCAGUGGGGAUAUUGCACCAAUGGCCGAAGCUGAUGCAGCGACGCCGCGGGAGGGAUGACGCUUCGGUUGUAAACUCUUUCAGCAGGGAAGAAGCGCAAGUGACGGUACUGCAGAAGAAGCACCGGCUAACUACGUGCCAGCAGCCGCGGUAAUACGUAGGGUGCGAGCGUGUCCGGAAUUAUUGGGCGUAAAGAGCUUGUAGGCGGUUUGUUGCGUCUGCAGUGAAAAUCCGGGGCUCAACCCCGGGACUUGCUGUGGGUACGGGCAGACUAGAGUGUGGUAGGGGAGACCGGAAUUCCUGGUGUAGCGGUGGAAUGCGCAGAUAUCAGGAGGAACACCGAUGGCGAAGGCAGGUCUCUGGGCCAUAACUGACGCUGAGAAGCGAAAGCAUGGGGAGCGAACAGGAUUAGAUACCAUGGUAGUCCAUGCCGUAAACGUUGGGCGCUAGGUGUGGGACUCAUUCCACGAGUUCCGUGCCGCAGCUAACGCAUUAAGCGCCCCGCCUGGGGAGUACGGCCGCAAGGCUAAAACUCAAAGGAAUUGACGGGGGCCCGCACAAGCGGCGGAGCAUGCGGAUUAAUUCGAUGCAACGCGAAGAACCUUACCAAGGC
This 658-nucleotide ribosomal RNA is filed under the name uncultured bacterium. Its description in RNAcentral is "bacterial SSU rRNA". It matches the Rfam family "Bacterial small subunit ribosomal RNA", at positions 304 to 980 of the family's 1533-position model. The record is from RNAcentral.